RNAcentral lists this long non-coding RNA (585 nucleotides) under Helianthus annuus (common sunflower). Lineage: Eukaryota; Viridiplantae; Streptophyta; Magnoliopsida; Asterales; Asteraceae. The record is from RNAcentral.
UUUUACUAGACAUCGAGCCAGGGACCAUGGACAGUGUUCGAUCUGGUCCGUACGGUCAGAUCUUCUAGCCGUGUAACUUUGUGUUCGGGAAGUCUGGUGCCAAAAUUGGGCGAAAGGUCAUUAUACGGAAGGAGUAGAGCUUAUUGAUUCUAUUCUUGGCGUUGUUCGUAUUGAUUCCAUCUGGUGCUGAAAGAAGGUUUGAUUUUGCCGCUGUUCGUAUUUGAUGGACUGAUAGUUACAUUAAAAUUGAAUUCAAUCACACAAAGUAUCAUUUUAUUUGAUUUCGUGCUGUUUAUGGUCAUCAAAUCAUGAAGUUUUAGAUGUCUUAUGUGUGAAGUAUAAGGUAUGCUGGUAAUUUUGAUAGUUUUGAGAACGCCUUAUGCAAGGCGCUUAAGAAGCAAGGGCCUUUUUUUAACAAGGGGUAGAGUAUAAAUGAACUGUUUUUAGGGGGUUAAGACAUGUUUUAAGUUGGUUUGGGCUGGUUUCAAGCCAUUUUUAGAUGUUUCAUACCAGUUUCAGCCUUGUUCAGGCCUGUUUUUAAUUGGCCGGAAGGUGUUAUUGCUGCGUUAGGUUGCGUUGCAGUUA